RNAcentral lists this ribosomal RNA (301 nucleotides) under uncultured bacterium. RNAcentral's name for it is "partial 16S ribosomal RNA". It matches the Rfam family "Bacterial small subunit ribosomal RNA", at positions 509 to 807 of the family's 1533-position model. The record is from RNAcentral.
CAGUCGCCGCGGUAAUACGUAGGGUGCAAGCGUUAUCCGGAAUUAUUGGGCGUAAAGAGCUCGUAGGCGGUUUGUCGCGUCUGCUGUGAAAACUGGAGGCUCAACCUCCAGCCUGCAGUGGGUACGGGCAGACUAGAGUGCGGUAGGGGAGAUUGGAAUUCCUGGUGUAGCGGUGGAAUGCGCAGAUAUCAGGAGGAACACCGAUGGCGAAGGCAGAUCUCUGGGCCGUAACUGACGCUGAGGAGCGAAAGCGUGGGGAGCGAACAGGAUUAGAUACCCGAGUAGUCCCUGUCUCUUAUAC